CCUACGGGAGGCAGCAGUGAGGAAUAUUGGUCAAUGGACGAGAGUCUGAACCAGCCAAGUAGCGUGAAGGAUGACUGCCCUAUGGGUUGUAAACUUCUUUUAUAUGGGAAUAAAAUGUUCCACGUGUGGGAUUUUGUAUGUACCCUAUGAAUAAGGAUCGGCUAACUCCGGGCCAGCAGCCGCGGUAAUACGGAGGAUCCGAGCGUUAUCCGGAUGUAUUGGGGUUAAAGGGAGCGUAGGUGGAUUGUUAAGUCAGUUGUGAAAGUUUGCGGCUCAACCGUAAAAUUGCAGUUGAAACUGGCAGUCUUGAGUACAGUAGAGGUGGGCGGAAUUCGUGGUGUAGCGGUGAAAUGCUUAGAUAGCACGAAGAACUCCGAUUGCGAAGGCAGCUGACUGGACUGCAACUGACACUGAGGCUCGAAAGUGUGGGUAUCAAACAGGAUUAGAUACCCCAGUAGUC
This 460-nucleotide ribosomal RNA is filed under the name uncultured bacterium. RNAcentral describes it as "partial 16S ribosomal RNA". It matches the Rfam family "Bacterial small subunit ribosomal RNA", at positions 338 to 795 of the family's 1533-position model. The record is from RNAcentral.